This is a long non-coding RNA of Daphnia pulicaria, 474 nucleotides long. RefSeq lists it as uncharacterized. The record is from RefSeq and is a predicted model, not a curated record. The transcript has 2 exons. Lineage: Eukaryota; Metazoa; Arthropoda; Branchiopoda; Diplostraca; Daphniidae.
GUGGAGUCUGUGUACAAGCUCUAUAUAAAUAUAACCGAAUGACGAAGGCUGCAUCAGUUGUAUUCGGCCGACAGUGAUAUAACAUUUGGAGACAAUGAAGGUAGUCCUUGCCACUUUGAUGAUGGCCGUCUUGGUGUCAAGCCAAAACCCUUACGAAAAACCAAACUACACUAGCUACUCCUUCCCGGAAAACAAACAGGAAUACAAUCAGGAUCAGGAAUACCCUGAAGUUUACAAGCCAUAUUUAGAUUCAACUCCGGUUUACAAUAAACCUGUGCACACACAUGCUAAGUUUAAGCCAUAUUUGCAUUACGGCACGUUAUUUCGACCCUAUUACCCAAUAUUCAAGCCAAACUAUCGCGAACCUGAGACGUUGUACAGACAUUUACGUUACUCUUCCAGGUGGUACCCCACACAUGCUACGUACGAUACUGCGUAUCUGUUUUAUAAAUAAAAACUUUAAAUGCCAUCAUA